CAGUGUUAAGGAUCUUUCUCUUUUCCAGUCAAUGCCCUCAUUUUAACAGAAAACAGACUCAAUUUACGUUGAAAUUAAAAUUCCCACAGGAUGAAACUGGAUUCUUUUCCUGCACUCUUGUGCUUGUGACUGCAGGAAAUGAGAAUUUCAUCUAGGGCACAUAUAGAAGCUUUCAGUUCCAUUCUGUGGAGUCCAGGAAAUUGAAGCUGGGAUUACCACAUUCCAUCUCUCUCUCUUCCUGUGAAGAGAGGAGCAACGAGCCAAUCCCAUCAUGCCAUCGCUUAACUGAAUAAUGCAUUCUACAGUUUUGACAUUCCUUAGAUAUCAACAUUGACCACUGUCACCCUUAUUGCCAACUUAAUUGACAAGAACCCCUGAGAGGUGCCGGGGUGCCAAAGCAACAAGACAAGGGACCCAAUUUGCCCCUGAAAGUGACUGAUGCAUGGAGAUAAAGCGGUGGCACCAACUGGCACAAUUCCUACUAAACAGGUGCUCCUUGCUAGAGUACAUAGUGCUCCUUUUGUUUAAAGGAAGGAUGGACUAUUUACGUGUACAGAGAAUUCUGAAAGGAAAACCCGAGAACGUCUACAUCCGGGUCCUGCGAGGCGGUGAUGGGCUCCCAGGCCUUAGGCUGACUGCACUCUACUCCAUCUUAUUGAAAGCCUGCUCCAAUUCUUGGAGAAGUCCACGUUCAGAGUUUUGGGAACUGUUUUGUGCAUGUGUCCAGGACCUUGUAAAUAACAGGCCAUGCCUACUUCCCCAGCCAGGCUUUGCUAUGCCCUAAUUUCUUAUUUCUGUAUGAAAAGCAGGAAAGGCUUAUCACCCGUAUGAAGUGUCCAUUGAUGCCACUAACACAAACAUAACCCAGCAGAGUUGAGAAGAGAAACUGUUGUCUGCAAGAAAAACAAAGUGACUAUAAUUUUCAAGGAAGAAUACGAAAAAGGAAGAUGUAGAUGAGCGACAGAUUGAUGGAUCAAUAAAUAAGAGGAGGGCUAGAGGACGAGGAAAGACAAGCAUAGAAGAGAAGAGCAGAAAAUCAGAGAUGUGGAGAGAAGAGGGAGGGUGCUAUGGAGACCUGCAGUAGGCUCUACUUAAGCAUAUGGCCAAAUAUUGAUGAGCUUUCCCUGAUGGCUGUAGAAGAGCAACUCAAAACAGUAGAGAAAGCUAUUGUGGAGAUUAAGAAUAAGAAUACUGUGUAUCCUUAGUGACCAGGAAAAAAUAUUUUUAAUACAGAGAACAUCCUACAGAGUCAUCAGAAAUUACAUGUGAAUCCUCGAACUAAUCCCUCUGUAAAAUCUGCUCUGAAUCUGUUCAAAUAAAUUUUAGAAAAGGAAA
RNAcentral lists this long non-coding RNA (1335 nucleotides) under Chinchilla lanigera (long-tailed chinchilla). RNAcentral's name for it is "lncRNA (ENSCLAG00000023904.1)". The record is from RNAcentral. Lineage: Eukaryota; Metazoa; Chordata; Mammalia; Rodentia; Chinchillidae.